This 77-nucleotide transfer RNA is filed under the name Huperzia crispata. RNAcentral describes it as "tRNA-Phe". The record is from RNAcentral. Lineage: Eukaryota; Viridiplantae; Streptophyta; Lycopodiopsida; Lycopodiales; Lycopodiaceae.
GUUCGGAUAGCUCAGGUGGUUGGAGCAAAGGACUGAAAAUCUGGGUGUCAGUGGUUCGAAUCUACUUUCUUUAAACA